CCGAGUUUACAACUCCCAAACCCAAUGUGAACGUUACCAAACUGUUGCCUCGGCGGGGUCACGCCCCGGGUGCGUAAAAGCCCCGGAACCAGGCGCCCGCCGGAGGAACCAACCAAACUCUUUCUGUAGUCCCCUCGCGGACGUAUUUCCUACAGCUCUGAGCAAAAAUUCAAAAUGAAUCA
Molecule: unclassified non-coding RNA, 182 nt
Filed under: soil metagenome
Description: partial internal transcribed spacer 1
Source: RNAcentral